UACGUAGGGGGCUAGCGUUGUCCGGAAUCAUUGGGCGUAAAGAGCGCGUAGGCGGCCAGAUAAGUCCGGCGUGAAAGUCAAAGGCUCAACCUUUGAAUGCCGCUGGAAACUGUCUGGCUAGAGUCCGGGAGGGGCGAGUGGAAUUCCUGGUGUAGCGGUGAAAUGCGCAGAUAUCAGGAGGAACACCGAUGGCGAAGGCAGCUCGCUGGAACGGUACUGACGCUGAGGCGCGAAAGCGUGGGGAGCGAACAGG
Molecule: ribosomal RNA, 253 nt
Filed under: uncultured bacterium
Lineage: Bacteria
Description: partial 16S ribosomal RNA
Rfam family: Bacterial small subunit ribosomal RNA
Source: RNAcentral